Molecule: transfer RNA, 77 nt
Filed under: Staphylococcus sp. CAG:324
Lineage: Bacteria; Bacillati; Bacillota; Bacilli; Caryophanales; Staphylococcaceae
Description: transfer RNA-Arg(TCT)
Rfam family: tRNA
About the family: Transfer RNA (tRNA) molecules are approximately 80 nucleotides in length. Their secondary structure includes four short double-helical elements and three loops (D, anti-codon, and T loops).
Source: RNAcentral
GUCCCAGUAGCUCAGUCGGAUAGAGCAACGGCCUUCUAAGCCGUGUGUCGGGGGUUCGAAUCCCUUCUGGGACGCCA